AAAGCUUGCUCUAGCUACAAACUUUCAGACACAGUUUGCUGCAGUGAUCAUGAUGUCCUUCAAGACUGCACUGGCUCUGCUUCUUCUAGCCAUGUUCAGCAUGGUUGCCGAAUCAUCAUGGGGCAACGGGAAAGGAAAUUCUUACAAUUAUGACCUUUCCAAAAUGUCUGAUCUGAGGAAACUAUACAACUCCAAAGUUUUCAAGGCAGAGAGAAUGACCAGGCCUCUGGAGGGCAUGUCUUUCCAAGUCGGCGUACUCAGUCACUCCGGAAGUGACUAUAGAAGACGGCACUAUAUGGCUGGUUCAUAAAGGAGAUGGCUAUGGUAUCUCAUCACAGACCGUUGUGGUGGCUGCCCGUCAUAUGAGCAGUAACUGGAAGAUUGUCGAGACUAAAAAUUUCGGUGGAAGCAAGACGGUAUCUGAUUUUGUGAAGGCUGGAGGAACAGACUACAAACUUUUGUUUGAUAACUGCCAUGAUGCCGCAAACCGGAUGAUGGGUGGUUAAAUAUACUAUAAAAAAACUACACUGAAGCCUAAAUGGUUUUCUUGUGAAGAGAACAUUACUUUUACAAAAAACAUUUUGUUAAUGUACCUUUUUAUUGAAUGUUUUUCAAAUGUAUGAUUGUGUAUAGAUGUGUGUUGAAUAUUAGUAUCUUUUGACGUUUUAAAAAUGUCCGACUCAAUAAUAAUGGACUUGAUAUUAAAACAUACCUGCAGGUGGCGACAGAGGUUCAUGUGUCCAUUUGCUUAUCCAGAAGGUAAACAGAUUUUAGUGAUUGAUUGUUGUAUGAAUAUUGCACAUGUACACAAUAAAAUAAGCACCUAGUUAUAAAAAGCAAAAGACACCUCGAGGCAAUUGCUUUUACUACAGUUUUUUUUUUUUUUUUACCUCUAUGUACAUGCAUGCCAUGUUUGUUUUGAGUAUGGUAUAACAAGAAAUGUCAGAUUAAUUAUGGGUGUCAGUUGUAACAGUACAAACAUCAACCUCUUUGGCAAAUAUAUGAACUAACUUCCUCCACCCAACCAGUGCUUUCCAUGAGAGUUUAAAACAUAUGCAUCGCAUGUUUGUUUUGAUUAAGCACAGUUAAGUUUAGCUUUAGGUAACAGGGAUGUAAAAAUAUAGCUCUGGUAACAAAAUCUCAUCAGACACUCACAAGCUUGAGUUUGCUGUGAGCAUGACGCCCUAUAAGACUGCACUGGUUUUGCUACUCCUGGCCAUAAGGCUUAGUGUCUGAAUACUCAUGGGGCAAAGUAGCUACAUUUACAAAUCUAUGUCCGAUUCGUUUACAACUACAUUGUUAUCAUCACCCAAGUCAAUAAAUACAAUUAAUC
This is a non-coding RNA of Danio rerio (zebrafish), 1333 nucleotides long. Lineage: Eukaryota; Metazoa; Chordata; Actinopteri; Cypriniformes; Danionidae. The record is from Ensembl.